This is a long non-coding RNA of Coffea arabica (coffee), 459 nucleotides long. RefSeq lists it as uncharacterized. The record is from RefSeq and is a predicted model, not a curated record. Lineage: Eukaryota; Viridiplantae; Streptophyta; Magnoliopsida; Gentianales; Rubiaceae.
UCAAUGUCUCACUAGGAGAUUGUCAUAUAGCUGCAUUUUUUACUUUAAGCAGCAACUGAUGGAAACACUUGUGAGCCAACAAACUUAGAUGCAGAAACAGCAGAAUGAAAUGCAGAGCCUGCUUAAAUCUCUAAACACAACUGGAAGCUAGGCAGCAAGACAAAUGCUACUAUGUCAGAUUUUGUGCAAAAUUCAUAGCUACUAAGUGGACUCAAGAAGGAUGAAGAUAAAGCUGCUUUUUUGGCUCGUGAAGUGUUUUGGAAGUUUUUAUGACUUUUCAGGCUCGGAUGCUUUUUGUAAACUUGAUUGACUUUGCAUGAACAAUUUGGGUUACACAGUACCACUUCUAUUGUAGUAUUUGUAGGAUGACAUUGAACUUAAACAUUAUAUUUUGGUCCUUUGUAGCAUAAUGGAUGCUUUUAGCUAUUAAUUAGCAGGCCUUUUAUGGUUCUUUUGAUU